RNAcentral lists this ribosomal RNA (253 nucleotides) under uncultured bacterium. RNAcentral's name for it is "partial 16S ribosomal RNA". It matches the Rfam family "Bacterial small subunit ribosomal RNA", at positions 524 to 776 of the family's 1533-position model. The record is from RNAcentral.
UACGUAGGAUGCAAGCGUUGUCCGGAUUUACUGGGCGUAAAGCGCGCGCAGGCGGCACAUUAAGUAAGGUGUGAAAUAUCCCGGCUCAACCGGGAGGGUGCACUUUAGACUGAUGAGCUUGAGGUCGGUAGAGGGGGGUGGAAUUGCUGGUGUAGCGGUGAAAUGCGUAGAGAUCAGCAGGAACACCCGUGGCGAAGGCGGCCCCCUGGGCCGUACCUGACGCUGAGGCGCGAAAGCUAGGGGAGCAAACGGG